CCUACGGGAGGCAGCAGUGAGGAAUAUUGGUCAAUGGGCGGAAGCCUGAACCAGCCAAGUAGCGUGCGGGAUGAAGGCCCUACGGGUCGUACACCGCUUUUGCACGGGGAUAACACCCUCCACUUGUGGAGGUCUGCAGGUACCGUGCGAAUAAGGGCCGGCUAAUUCCGUGCCAGCAGCCGCGGUAAUACGGAAGGCCCGCGCGUUAUCCGGAUUCAUUGGGCUUAAAGGGUGCGUAGGCGGGCGUUCAAGUCAGCUGUAAAAUCGCGCGGCUCAACCGCGCCCCGCAGUGGAAACUGGACGCCUUGAGUUGAGAAGAGGAAGGCGGAAUUCGUGGGGGAGCGGUGAAA
RNAcentral lists this ribosomal RNA (350 nucleotides) under uncultured bacterium. Its description in RNAcentral is "partial 16S ribosomal RNA". It matches the Rfam family "Bacterial small subunit ribosomal RNA", at positions 338 to 686 of the family's 1533-position model. The record is from RNAcentral.